UCUGAAUUAAAAAAGGUAAUACUUCUUAGGAAACCUUUGCUCUUUGGCGGCCUUAUUUCUUAUUAAAGGAACUUGUCUAUUAAUCGAAAUUACCCGAUCGUUUUCUCUUCUAUUUGUUUUUAUACCGUCGUCUUAAGAAUAUUGUCAAACUAAUUAUCCUAGCCAGAGCAACCAAAAAAGUCAGAUCAAGGUGAAGCUUAUAUAGAAGCCCUAGGUGAGUUAUGCUUAAGCACUACUAAUGGACUUCUCUUUAAAAAGUUACUCAAAUUAAGAUUCAACAGUACCUUAAAAUUAAAAAUUUUAAGGGAAGAAGUAAAAAAAGGUGU
RNAcentral lists this ribosomal RNA (326 nucleotides) under Aname sp. MYG461. RNAcentral's name for it is "partial 12S ribosomal RNA". The record is from RNAcentral. Lineage: Eukaryota; Metazoa; Arthropoda; Arachnida; Araneae; Anamidae.